AAAAAAGCCCACCCCGCCUCCUGACCUCCAGCAUCUCCCAGAUCCCGAUCCCACCCACAACUCCCAUUGCCGCCGGUGUCCCGCUUCCAGGCGUCGUCGCCAGCCUCCUUCUUCUACGCGUCGCCGCGGGCCUCCCGCUUCCACGCGUCGUCACCGGCCUCCUCCUUCCACGCGUUGUUGCUAGACUCCUCCUUCCACGCGCCACCGCCAGCCUCCCCCUUCCACGCGCCGCCGCCGGCCUCCCCCUUCCACGCGCCGCCGUCGCCUCCCUCUUCCACCCGCCAUCGCAGGCUCCUCGGCUUCCACCCGCCCUCGUGGCAUACUUGCUUCCACCAGCCGCCAUCGGAGCCACCCCGGCACCUCCAUCGCCGCCACGCGCGACGCGCCUCCUCCCAAGGAUGCGGUCGCCCCCCCCACCCCUCCUGCCGGCGACACGCCCACUCCUCCCGACGAUGUGUCCCGCCGCCUCAACGUGCAGGCCAUUCACCUCCGCCACCCUAGACCGUUCACCUCUGCCACCACUGCCUGUUCAACGUGGCCUCGACAACCCGGCGCAUGAACACCCUCUGUCAACUCCAAUGCGACUUUGUUUGUCUCAACUUCAAAACAUGUUCAGUUCAGAACUUGACAUGGAGGGUGUACUGAUGAUACCUAGCCGAAUGAAGCUCUGAGCUAUAUCCUGAGGAAACAAGAGGGAGUGUCAACACUGAUACAGGGAGAUGCACACCAAACCCGCCGCCCGAGGCCGUGUACCAUCGCAGCGCCCCUUCCCCAGCCAUCGUGAGGUCAACCUCCUGGGAUACACAAAGUUUCAGUUCGUCGAGAGGCUUCUUGGAGUUGCAGAUUGUAUAUUAUGGCAAAGACUCUAUUUCAAUGGGAGGUUCAACCAGAGGAGUUCAAAACACAAGAACUCUAGGAGUUCGCAAAACAAAAUCUACUAUGAGAGUUUGCACUUGUGUGUGCAGUGCAUGUGUUAGGUGUAUGUUUUUUCGGUAUGAUCUGGACACUGAAGAAAGAAAACACAAGGACUCGGUCCAUGUAUAAUUUUCUACUGUUUUUGCACUAAAAUCUUUGGUCUGAAAUGUAUGAGUUUUGUACAAUUUUUGGUUUUGUAUGUUGUAGCUGUAACAUGUGACUUAUAGCACCACUGUUUAUCGGAAGAAAAAUCCAAUUACAGCCUCUGCAGUUA
Triticum dicoccoides is the source of this 1189-nucleotide long non-coding RNA. RefSeq lists it as uncharacterized. The record is from RefSeq and is a predicted model, not a curated record. The transcript is spliced from 4 exons. NCBI's taxonomy places the organism in Eukaryota, Viridiplantae, Streptophyta, Magnoliopsida, Poales, Poaceae.